ACGCUGGCGGCGUGCCUAAUACAUGCAAGUAGAACGCUGAAGAGAGGAGCUUGCUCUUCUUGAAUGAGUUGCGAACGGGUGAGUAACGCGUAGGUAACCUGCCUUGUAGCGGGGGAUAACUAUUGGAAACGAUAGCUAAUACCGCAUAACAAUGGGUGACACAUGUCAUUUAUUUGAAAGGGGCAAUUGCUCCACUACAAGAUGGACCUGCGUUGUAUUAGCUAGUAGGUGAGGUAACGGCUCACCUAGGCGACGAUACAUAGCCGACCUGAGAGGGUGAUCGGCCACACUGGGACUGAGACACGGCCCAGACUCCUACGGGAGGCAGCAGUAGGGAAUCUUCGGCAAUGGGGGCAACCCUGACCGGGCAACGCCGCGUGAGUGAAGAAGGUUUUCGGAUCGUAAAGCUCUGUUGUAAGUCAAGAAUGAGUGUGAGAGUGGAAAGUUCACACUGUGACGGUAGCUUACCAGAAAGGGACGGCUAACUACGUGCCAGCAGCCGCGGUAAUACGUAGGUCCCGAGCGUUGUCCGGAUUUAUUGGGCGUAAAGCGAGCGCAGGCGGUUUGAUAAGUCUGAAGUUAAAGGCUGUGGCUCAACCAUAGUUCGCUUUGGAAACUGUCAAACUUGAGUGCAGAAGGGGAGAGUGGAAUUCCAUGUGUAGCGGUGAAAUGCGUAGAUAUAUGGAGGAACACCGGUGGCGAAAGCGGCUCUCUGGUCUGUAACUGACGCUGAGGCUCGAAAGCGUGGGGAGCGAACAGGAUUAGAUACCCUGGUAGUCCACGCCGUAAACGAUGAGUGCUAGGUGUUGGAUCCUUUCCGGGAUUCAGUGCCGCAGCUAACGCAUUAAGCACUCCGCCUGGGGAGUACGACCGCAAGGUUGAAACUCAAAGGAAUUGACGGG
RNAcentral lists this ribosomal RNA (902 nucleotides) under uncultured bacterium. Its description in RNAcentral is "bacterial SSU rRNA". It matches the Rfam family "Bacterial small subunit ribosomal RNA", at positions 33 to 917 of the family's 1533-position model. The record is from RNAcentral.